UAUCGUCUAUUUGAUAGUACCUUACUACUUGGAUAACCGUGGUAAUUCUAGAGCUAAUACAUGCUGAAAACCCCGACUUCGGAAGGGAUGUAUUUAUUAGAUUAAAAACCAAUGCCCUCCGGGGCUCCCUGGUGAUUCAUGAUAACUCCUCGAAUCGCACGGCCUUGCGCCGGCGAUGGCUCAUUCAAAUUUCUGCCCUAUCAACUUUCGACGGCUGGGUCUUGGCCAGCCGUGGUGACAACGGGUAACGGAGGGUUAGGGCUCGACCCCGGAGAAGGAGCCUGAGAAACGGCUACUACAUCUAAGGAAGGCAGCAGGCGCGCAAAUUACCCAAUCCCGACGCGGGGAGGUAGUGACAAUAAAUACUGAUACAGGGCUCUUUUGGGUCUUGUAAUUGGAAUGAGUACAGUUUAAUUCCCUUAACGAGGAACAAUUGGAGGGCAAGUCUGGUGCCAGCAGCCGCGGUAAUUCCAGCUCCAAUAGCGUAUAUUAAAGUUGUUGCAGUUAAAAAGCUCGUAGUUGAACCUUGGGCCUGGCUGGCCGGUCCGCCUCACCGCGUGCACUGGUCCGGCCGGGCCUUUCCCGCUGGGGAGCCGCAUGCCCUUCACUGGGCGUGCCGGGGAACCAGGACGUUUACUUUGAAAAAAUUAGAGUGUUCAAAGCAGGCUUAUGCUCGGAUACAUUAGCAUGGAAUAAUGAAAUAGGACGCGCGGUUCUAUUUUGUUGGUUUCUAGGACCGCCGUAAUGAUUAAUAGGGACAGUCGGGGGCAUCAGUAUUCAAUUGUCAGAGGUGAAAUUCUUGGAUUUAUUGAAGACUAACUACUGCGAAAGCAUUUGCCAAGGAUGUUUUCAUUAAUCAGGAACGAAAGUUAGGGGAUCGAAGACGAUCAGAUACCGUCGUAGUCUUAACCAUAAACUAUGCCGACUAGGGAUCGGACGCUGUUGUCUACUGACGCGUUCGGCACCUUGCACGAAAGUACAA
RNAcentral lists this ribosomal RNA (982 nucleotides) under Raffaelea sp. S21. RNAcentral describes it as "SSU rRNA". It matches the Rfam family "Eukaryotic small subunit ribosomal RNA", at positions 111 to 1102 of the family's 1831-position model. The record is from RNAcentral. RNAcentral also lists the same sequence under 1 other name. Lineage: Eukaryota; Fungi; Ascomycota; Sordariomycetes; Ophiostomatales; Ophiostomataceae.